GUUGUAUGGUUAAGUGACUAAGCGUACACGGUGGAUGCCUUGGCAGUCAGAGGCGAUGAAAGACGUAGUAACUUGCGAUAAGCCCAGAUUAGGUAGUAACAACCAUUUGAGUCUGGGAUUUCUGAAUGGGGAAACCCACGUGCAUAAGCACGUAUCCUUACCUGAAUACAUAGGGUAAGGAGGCGAACCGGGGGAACUGAAACAUCUAAGUACCCCGAGGAAAAGAAAUCAACCGAGAUUCCGAAAGUAGCGGCGAGCGAAAUUGGACUAGCCCUUAAGCUUUACACGCGUUAGACGAACGGUCUGGAAAGUCCGACGAUACAGGGUGAUAGUCCCGUAGUUGACGACGUGUGUUCAGUGAAAUCGAGUAGGGCGGGACACGUGAUAUCCUGUCUGAAUAUGGGGGGACCAUCCUCCAAGGCUAAAUACUACUGACUGACCGAUAGUGAACCAGUACCGUGAGGGAAAGGCGAAAAGAACCCCUGUGAGGGGAGUGAAAUAGAACCUGAAACCGUGUACGUACAAGCAGUAGGAGCAGGCUUUGUCCUGUGACUGCGUACCUUUUGUAUAAUGGGUCAGCGACUUAUAUUCAGUGGCAAGGUUAACCAUCUAGGGGAGCCGUAGGGAAACCGAGUCUUAACUGGGCGUUCAGUCUCUGGAUAUAGACCCGAAACCAGGUGAUCUAGCCAUGGGCAGGUUGAAGGUUGAGUAACAUCAACUGGAGGACCGAACCGACUAAUGUUGAAAAAUUAGCGGAUGACUUGUGGCUAGGGGUGAAAGGCCAAUCAAACCUGGAGAUAGCUGGUUCUCCCCGAAAGCUAUUUAGGUAGCGCCUCGGACGAAUACUACUGGGGGUAGAGCACUGUUAAGGCUAGGGGGUCAUCCCGACUUACCAACCCUUUGCAAACUCCGAAUACCAGUAAGUACUAUCCGGGAGACACACGGCGGGUGCUAACGUCCGUCGUGGAGAGGGAAACAACCCAGACCGCCAGCUAAGGUCCCAAAUUACUACUAAGUGGGAAACGAUGUGGGAAGGCUCAGACAGCCAGGAUGUUGGCUUAGAAGCAGCCAUCAUUUAAAGAAAGCGUAAUAGCUCACUGGUCGAGUCGGCCUGCGCGGAAGAUGUAACGGGGCUAAGUAGUAAACCGAAGCUGCGGCAAUGUGCUUUUGCACAUUGGGUAGGGGAGCGUUCUGUAAGCGGUUGAAGGUGUGUGGUAACGCAUGCUGGACGUAUCAGAAGUGCGAAUGCUGACAUGAGUAACGAUAAAGGGGGUGAAAAACCUCCUCGCCGGAAGACCAAGGGUUCCUGUCCAACGUUAAUCGGGGCAGGGUAAGUCGACCCCUAAGGCGAGGCCGAAAGGCGUAGUCGAUGGGAAACGGGUUAAUAUUCCCGUACUUCUUACAAUUGCGAUGGGGGGACGGAGAAGGCUAGGUGGGCCUGGCGACGGUUGUCCAGGUUCAAGUGCGUAGGCUUAAGAGUUAGGUAAAUCCGGCUCUUUUUAAGGCUGAGACACGACGUCGAGCAUCUACGGAUGUGAAGUCAUUGAUGCCAUGCUUCCAGGAAAAGCCUCUAAGCUUCAGAUUGUAAGGAAUCGUACCCCAAACCGACACAGGUGGUCGGGUAGAGAAUACCAAGGCGCUUGAGAGAACUCGGGUGAAGGAACUAGGCAAAAUGGUACCGUAACUUCGGGAGAAGGUACGCUCUCGACGGUGAAGUCCCUCGCGGAUGGAGCUAUUGAGAGUCGCAGAUACCAGGUGGCUGCAACUGUUUAUUAAAAACACAGCACUGUGCAAAAUCGUAAGAUGACGUAUACGGUGUGACGCCUGCCCGGUGCCGGAAGGUUAAUUGAUGGGGUUAGACUUCGGUCGAAGCUCUUGAUCGAAGCCCCGGUAAACGGCGGCCGUAACUAUAACGGUCCUAAGGUAGCGAAAUUCCUUGUCGGGUAAGUUCCGACCUGCACGAAUGGCGUAAUGAUGGCCACGCUGUCUCCACCCGAGACUCAGUGAAAUUGAAAUCGCUGUGAAGAUGCAGUGUACCCGCGGCUAGACGGAAAGACCCCGUGAACCUUUACUACAGCUUGGCACUGAACAUUGACCCUACAUGUGUAGGAUAGGUGGGAGGCUUUGAAGCACGUACGCCAGUAUGUGUGGAGCCGUCCUUGAAAUACCACCCUUGUAGUGUUGAUGUUCUAACGUCGACCCCUUAUCGGGGUUGCGGACAGUGCCUGGUGGGUAGUUUGACUGGGGCGGUCUCCUCCCAAAGAGUAACGGAGGAGCACGAAGGUGGGCUAAUCACGGUUGGACAUCGUGAGGUUAGUGCAAUGGCAUAAGCCCGCUUGACUGCGAGAAUGACAAUUCGAGCAGGUGCGAAAGCAGGUCAUAGUGAUCCGGUGGUUCUGAAUGGAAGGGCCAUCGCUCAACGGAUAAAAGGUACUCCGGGGAUAACAGGCUGAUACCGCCCAAGAGUUCAUAUCGACGGCGGUGUUUGGCACCUCGAUGUCGGCUCAUCACAUCCUGGGGCUGAAGUCGGUCCCAAGGGUAUGGCUGUUCGCCAUUUAAAGUGGUACGCGAGCUGGGUUUAGAACGUCGUGAGACAGUUCGGUCCCUAUCUGCCGUGGGCGUUGGAAGAUUGAAGGGGGCUGCUCCUAGUACGAGAGGACCGGAGUGGACGAACCUCUGGUGUUCGGGUUGUGUCGCCAGACGCAUUGCCCGGUAGCUAAGUUCGGAAUCGAUAACCGCUGAAAGCAUCUAAGCGGGAAGCGAGCCCUGAGAUGAGUCUUCCCUGAUACUUUAAGUAUCCUAAAGGGUUGUCGGAGACUACGACGUUGAUAGGUCAGGUGUGUAAGUGCUGUGAGGCAUUGAGCUAACUGAUACUAAUUGCCCGUGAGGCUUAACCAUACAACACCUAAGGGGUUU
This 2916-nucleotide ribosomal RNA is filed under the name Vibrio parahaemolyticus. RNAcentral describes it as "bacterial LSU rRNA". It matches the Rfam family "Bacterial large subunit ribosomal RNA". The record is from RNAcentral. Lineage: Bacteria; Pseudomonadati; Pseudomonadota; Gammaproteobacteria; Vibrionales; Vibrionaceae.